AGAGUUUGAUCCUGGCUCAGGAUGAACGCUAGCGGCAGGCUUAACACAUGCAAGUCGAGGGGUAACAUUGGUGCUUGCACCAGAUGACGACCGGCGGACGGGUGAGUAACGCGUAUGCAAUCUACCUCUAACAGAGGGAUAGCCCGAAGAAAUUCGGAUUAAUACCUCAUAAUACUAUCAGGAGGCAUCUUUUGAUAGUAAAAGCUUCGGUGGUUAGAGAUGAGCAUGCGUAUCAUUAGUUAGUUGGUGAGGUAAAGGCUCACCAAGGCGACGAUGAUUAUGGGGUCUAAAAGGAUGGUCCCACACACUGGUACUGAGACACGGACCAGACUCCUACGGGAGGCAGCAGUGAGGAAUAUUGGUCAAUGGGGGGAACCCUGAACCAGCCAUGCCGCGUGCAGGAAGACAGCCUUAUGGGUUGUAAACUGCUUUUCUGAUAGAGUAACGGUAUCCAUGCGUGGAUAUAUGCAAGUAUAUCAGGAAUAAGCAUCGGCUAACUCCGUGCCAGCAGCCGCGGUAAUACGGAGGAUGCGAGCGUUAUCCGGAUUUAUUAGGUUUAAAGGGUGCGUAGGCGGGAGAAUAAGUCAGUGGUGAAAACCUACAGCUUAACUGUGGACUUGCCAUUGAUACUGUUUUUCUUGAGUACAGAAGAGGUAGGCGGAAUGUGUAGUGUAGCGGUGAAAUGCAUAGAUAUUACACAGAACACCGAUUGCGAAGGCAGCCUACUAUACUGUUACUGACGCUGAUGCACGAAAGCGUGGGUAGCGAACAGGAUUAGAUACCCUGGUAGUCCACGCCGUAAACGAUGCUCACUCGCUGUUGGCGUUAUAAAGUCAGCGGCUUAGGGAAACCAUUAAGUGAGCCACCUGGGGAGUACGUUGGCAACAAUGAAACUCAAAGGAAUUGACGGGGGCCCGCACAAGCGGAGGAACAUGUGGUUUAAUUCGAUGAUACGCGAGGAGGUUGUCGUCAGCUCGUGCCGUGAGGUGUCGGGUUAAGUCCCAUAACGAGCGCAACCCCUAUUGCUAGUUGCCAUCGCGUAAAGGCGGGGACUCUAGUGAGACUGCCACCGUAAGGUGUGAGGAAGGUGGGGAUGACGUCAAAUCAGCACGGCCCUUAUGUCCGGGGCUACACACGUGUUACAAUGGUCGGCACAAAGGGCAGCUACCCGGUGACGGGGUGCCAAUCUCAAAAUCCGGUCAUAGUUCGGAUCGAAGUCUGCAACUCGACUUCGUGAAGUUGGAUUCGCUAGUAAUCGCACAUCAGCCAUGGUGCGGUGAAUACGUUCCCGGGCCUUGUACACACCGCCCGUCAAACCAUGGAAGCCGGGGGUACCUGAAGUCCGUUACCUAAAGGAGCGGCCUAGGGUAAAUCUGGUGACUGGGGUUAAGUCGUAACAAGGUAGCCGUACCGGAAGGUGUGGCUG
RNAcentral lists this ribosomal RNA (1426 nucleotides) under oral metagenome. Its description in RNAcentral is "bacterial SSU rRNA". It matches the Rfam family "Bacterial small subunit ribosomal RNA". The record is from RNAcentral.